GAUCCUGGCUCGGGAUGAACGCUAGCUACAGGCUUAACACAUGCAAGUCGAGGGGAAACGACAGAGGAAGCUUGCUUCCUUUGGGCGUCGACCGGCGCACGGGUGAGUAACGCGUAUCCAACCUUCCCGCAAGUAAGGGAUAACCCGUAGAAAUGCGGCCUAAUACCUUAUGUUUUCCUUAGAGGGCAUCUGAUGAGGAACAAAGAUCCGUCGCUUGCGGAUGGGGAUGCGUCUGAUUAGUUAGUCGGCGGGGUAACGG
Molecule: ribosomal RNA, 259 nt
Filed under: uncultured bacterium
Lineage: Bacteria
Description: partial 16S ribosomal RNA
Rfam family: Bacterial small subunit ribosomal RNA
Source: RNAcentral